GCCUGGGUGGCUCAGUGGGUUAAGCGUCCGACUUGGGCUCAGGUCAUGAUCUCGCGGUUCGUGGGUUCGAGCCCCGCGUCAGGCU
Molecule: transfer RNA, 85 nt
Filed under: Felis catus (domestic cat)
Lineage: Eukaryota; Metazoa; Chordata; Mammalia; Carnivora; Felidae
Also listed under: 1 other name
Rfam family: tRNA
About the family: Transfer RNA (tRNA) molecules are approximately 80 nucleotides in length.
Source: Rfam by way of RNAcentral